GAUGAACGCUGGCGGCGUGCUUAACACAUGCAAGUCGAACGAUGAAGCCCAGCUUGCUGGGUGGAUUAGUGGCGAACGGGUGAGUAACACGUGAGUAACCUGCCCUUAACUCUGGGAUAAGCCUGGGAAACUGGGUCUAAUACCGGAUAGGAGCGUCCACCGCAUGGUGGGUGUUGGAAAGAUUUAUCGGUUUUGGAUGGACUCGCGGCCUAUCAGCUUGUUGGUGAGGUAAUGGCUCACCAAGGCGACGACGGGUAGCCGGCCUGAGAGGGUGACCGGCCACACUGGGACUGAGACACGGCCCAGACUCCUACGGGAGGCAGCAGUGGGGAAUAUUGCACAAUGGGCGCAAGCCUGAUGCAGCGACGCCGCGUGAGGGGUGACGGCCUUCGGGUUGUAAACCUCUUUCAGUAGGGAAGAAGCGAAAGUGACGGUACCUGCAGAAGAAGCACCGGCUAACUACGU
RNAcentral lists this ribosomal RNA (465 nucleotides) under uncultured bacterium. RNAcentral's name for it is "partial 16S ribosomal RNA". It matches the Rfam family "Bacterial small subunit ribosomal RNA", at positions 28 to 506 of the family's 1533-position model. The record is from RNAcentral.